AGUGACAGAUCAUCAGUGCGCGAGA
RNAcentral lists this microRNA (25 nucleotides) under Pristionchus pacificus. Its description in RNAcentral is "ppc-miR-2238i-3p". Lineage: Eukaryota; Metazoa; Nematoda; Chromadorea; Rhabditida; Neodiplogasteridae. The record is from miRBase by way of RNAcentral.